AACGCGAAGAACCUUACCAGCCCUUGACAUGUCCGGGACCGGUCGCAGAGAUGUGACCUUCUCUUCGGAGCCCGGAACACAGGUGCUGCAUGGCUGUCGUCAGCUCGUGUCGUGAGAUGUUGGGUUAAGUCCCGCAACGAGCGCAACCCCCGUCCUUAGUUGCUACCAUUUAGUUGAGCACUCUAAGGAGACUGCCGGUGAUAAGCCGCGAGGAAGGUGGGGAUGACGUCAAGUCCUCAUGGCCCUUACGGGCUGGGCUACACACGUGCUACAAUGGCGGUGACAAUGGGACGCUAAGGGGCAACCCUUCGCAAAUCUCAAAAAGCCGUCUCAGUUCGGAUUGGGCUCUGCAACUCGAGCCCAUGAAGUUGGAAUCGCUAGUAAUCGUGGAUCAGCACGCCACGGUGAAUACGUUCCCGGGUCUUGUACACACGC
This 435-nucleotide ribosomal RNA is filed under the name uncultured bacterium. RNAcentral's name for it is "bacterial SSU rRNA". It matches the Rfam family "Bacterial small subunit ribosomal RNA", at positions 958 to 1393 of the family's 1533-position model. The record is from RNAcentral.